CUAGUAAUCGCAGAUCAGCAUGCUGCGGUGAAUACGUUCCCGGGCCUUGUACACACCGCCCGUCACACCAUGAGAGUCGAUAACACCCGAAGCCUGUAGUCUAACCAUAAGGGGGACGCAGUCGAAGGUGGGAUUGAUAAUUAGGGUGAAGUCGUAACAAGGUACC
Molecule: ribosomal RNA, 166 nt
Filed under: uncultured bacterium
Lineage: Bacteria
Description: partial 16S ribosomal RNA
Rfam family: Bacterial small subunit ribosomal RNA
Source: RNAcentral